Molecule: microRNA precursor, 78 nt
Filed under: Paramuricea clavata
Lineage: Eukaryota; Metazoa; Cnidaria; Anthozoa; Malacalcyonacea; Plexauridae
Source: RNAcentral
AAUUAGUUUGAACCGCGAAAUAGUGACGUUUGGGCGAGAUUUGUCAAACGUCACUAUUUCGCGGUUCAAACUAAUUGU